This 343-nucleotide ribosomal RNA is filed under the name Lysinibacillus fusiformis. Its description in RNAcentral is "bacterial SSU rRNA". It matches the Rfam family "Bacterial small subunit ribosomal RNA", at positions 1 to 331 of the family's 1533-position model. Lineage: Bacteria; Bacillati; Bacillota; Bacilli; Caryophanales; Bacillaceae. The record is from RNAcentral.
UUUUAUGGAGAGUUUGAUCCUGGCUCAGGACGAACGCUGGCGGCGUGCCUAAUACAUGCAAGUCGAGCGAACAGAGAAGGAGCUUGCUCCUUCGACGUUAGCGGCGGACGGGUGAGUAACACGUGGGCAACCUACCUUAUAGUUUGGGAUAACUCCGGGAAACCGGGGCUAAUACCGAAUAAUCUGUUUCACCUCAUGGUGAAACACUGAAAGACGGUUUCGGCUGUCGCUAUAGGAUGGGCCCGCGGCGCAUUAGCUAGUUGGUGAGGUAACGGCUCACCAAGGCGACGAUGCGUAGCCGACCUGAGAGGGUGAUCGGCCACACUGGGACUGAGACACGGCC